GACAGAGGGUGCAAACGUUGUUCGGAAUUACUGGGCGUAAAGCGUGCGCAGGCGGUCUGUUAAGACCGAUGUGAAAUCCCCGGGCUUAACCUGGGAACUGCAUUGGUGACUGGCAGGCUUUGAGUGUGGCAGAGGGAGGUAGAAUUCCACGUGUAGCAGUGAAAUGCGUAGAGAUGUGGAGGAAUACCGAUGGCGAAGGCAGCCUCCUGGGCCAACACUGACGCUCAUGCACGAAAGCGUGGGGAGCAAACAGG
This 254-nucleotide ribosomal RNA is filed under the name uncultured bacterium. RNAcentral's name for it is "partial 16S ribosomal RNA". It matches the Rfam family "Bacterial small subunit ribosomal RNA", at positions 524 to 776 of the family's 1533-position model. The record is from RNAcentral.